CCUACGGGUGGCUGCAGUGAGGAAUAUUGGUCAAUGGGCGCGAGCCUGAACCAGCCAAGUAGCGUGAAGGAUGACUGCCCUACGGGUUGUAACCUUCUUUUAUAAAGGAAUAAAGUGAGGCACGUGUGCCUUUUUGUAUGUACUUUAUCAAUAAGCAUCGGCUAACUCCGUUCCAGCAGCCGCGGUAAUACGGAGGAUCCGAGCGUUAUCCGGAUUUAUUGGGUGUAAAGGGAGCGUAGAUGGGUUGUUAAGUCAGUUGUGAAAGUUUUCGGCUCAACCGUAAAAUUGCAAUUGUUACUGGCAGUCUUGAGUACAGUUGAGGUAGGCGGAAUUCGUGGUGUAGCGGUGAAAUGCUUAGAUAUCACGAAGAACUCCGAUUGCGAAGGCAGCUUACUAAACUGCCACUGACAUUGAUGCUCGAAAGUGUGGGUAUCAAACAGGAUUAGAUACCCGUGUAGUC
RNAcentral lists this ribosomal RNA (460 nucleotides) under uncultured bacterium. RNAcentral describes it as "partial 16S ribosomal RNA". It matches the Rfam family "Bacterial small subunit ribosomal RNA", at positions 338 to 795 of the family's 1533-position model. The record is from RNAcentral.